Molecule: ribosomal RNA, 753 nt
Filed under: Alternaria sp.
Lineage: Eukaryota; Fungi; Ascomycota; Dothideomycetes; Pleosporales; Pleosporaceae
Description: partial large subunit ribosomal RNA
Rfam family: Eukaryotic large subunit ribosomal RNA
Source: RNAcentral
AAUUUGCAGAGGGCGCUUUGGCUUUGGCAGCGGUCCAAGUUCCUUGGAACAGGACGUCACAGAGGGUGAGAAUCCCGUACGUGGUCGCUGGCUAUUGCCGUGUAAAGCCCCUUCGACGAGUCGAGUUGUUUGGGAAUGCAGCUCUAAAUGGGAGGUACAUUUCUUCUAAAGCUAAAUAUUGGCCAGAGACCGAUAGCGCACAAGUAGAGUGAUCGAAAGAUGAAAAGCACUUUGGAAAGAGAGUCAAACAGCACGUGAAAUUGUUGAAAGGGAAGCGCUUGCAGCCAGACUUGCUUACAGUUGCUCAUCCGGGUUUCUACCCGGUGCACUCUUCUGUAGGCAGGCCAGCAUCAGUUUGGGCGGUAGGAUAAAGGUCUCUGUCACGUACCUCCUUUCGGGGAGGCCUUAUAGGGGAGACGACAUACUACCAGCCUGGACUGAGGUCCGCGCAUCUGCUAGGAUGCUGGCGUAAUGGCUGUAAGCGGCCCGUCUUGAAACACGGACCAAGGAGUCUAACAUCUAUGCGAGUGUUUGGGUGUCAAGCCCGAGCGCGUAAUGAAAGUGAACGGAGGUGGGAACCCGCAAGGGUGCACCAUCGACCGAUCCUGAUGUCUUCGGAAGGAUUUGAGUAAGAGCAUGGCUGUUGGGACCCGAAAGAUGGUGAACUAUGCUUGAAUAGGGUGAAGCCAGAGGAAACUCUGGUGGAGGCUCGCAGCGGUUCUGACGUGCAAAUCGAUCGUCAAAUUUGGGCAU